Gallus gallus (chicken) is the source of this 3233-nucleotide long non-coding RNA. The record is from Ensembl. NCBI's taxonomy places the organism in Eukaryota, Metazoa, Chordata, Aves, Galliformes, Phasianidae.
CUGGAACCAGUUAUGUUAUGCUUCGGGUUGCAUCUCCAUGGCUUAUUGAACUUUCUAUCUGUGCUUCCUUUAAAGAUAAAAGCCUCAAGAGUUGGCUCAAGUGAGCUUGCCCAGUGCUGCAAAAGAGCAGUGGAGGUGCAUGCAAGGAUACUGUUAACUGAGAAGUUGGGCCGAGUUAAAUGGUACCCUUAAUCCCCUUGAUGUCUGGCAGAGUCAAGUUAAAAGGUCUUCCCCACUUGGGGUGAAGGCUUUGCAUGUGUAGAUGCUGGUUCACUUAAGGGCAUUGCUGCCUCUGUGGUGAAAGAACCUUCUUCUCUGCUGGCGUUUGCUUCGUUGCUGAAGGAAGGAGAAACUUCUGCAGUGUCUUGUGUCAAGUGGGGGCCUGGGCUGAAGUUUUGUUCCAUGGAGGCUUUCAACAAACAGCAAGAGACAUGGCAGAGGGCUAGAAACAGGCCAAACAGAUGAAAAUUAAACCUGCAGCAGAUGUGAGGCUCAAUGUGUCAGCUCAACCUCAGGGGCAAGAAAAAGAGAAGUUGAAACUGGUUUCUUCCAUCUGAGAUGGCCACAGGCGAAGAGCAAACACACUUGGUCAAUUACCGUGGCUCAGAUGAUGCAUGGUAUUGCCAUUUUCAGGUCAAAUUUUAGAGUUAGUAGGAACUUUUCCAUGGGCUUUGUACAACAAUAUUCCACUGCGCACAGUGAGAAGUUUGAACACCCUUCGUUUCAGCGUCUAAUUUUGAGAUGAACUUGUAUCUUUCUUAAAAAAACAAAACAACAAGACCACCAAUAGCAAAAGAAAACCACCGGCCCCAAACUUUCACCUUUCUUCUCAGUAACUGAAACUCGAGUUCAUCUUUCUCUGCUUCCACGUAAUACAAGGAAAGACAUUUGAUUAGAUUAUGUGAGAUACUUUUUAAGGCAGAUGGAUUCAACACAUGGCUGCAGGACCAGGCUUUAUUAUCUCGACUAACGUGGACACAUUUUGAACACUGCUUCUCACUCUGCCAUCAGCCGCCACCACCUCUGCAGUACUGUGACAGCAAGAGAAAAAGGACAGGGAAGUGAUAAAGUUUGCACACGUAAGCAGAAAAGAACUUUCUGUCCAAAGCCAGCUGGCUUGGCUUGGCACUGAAGUGGCAUUUUAGCACAAGAUGACACGUUUAUGCGUGUACUGGAGCUAUGUUUCAAAACACUUGCCCUAGAUGCCACAGGAAGGGUCUGUGAAAUAGUUUAUCACCAAGUAACCAUAGAGAGCAGGUGAGCUGUCUGAAUACCAGUUUGUCUUCUGAGCUGGCAGACAAAUGAAACCACAGGAAGGAAUCAAAGCAAUGCUGCUGCUUUUAAUAAUUAGAAUUGAGCGUAUUUUCAGGGAAGUUUUGGGAAAGCAUGCGAUAAUCCUAUAUCACAGCCAAGAGGACAAUACGUCCAUUAAUAAAUGCCUGAUACCGUUUGCUCUGAUACAAAACUCAGAAAUGCACACCAGCCAAUCCAUGUUAACACAGGUCAUUUCUUUAAGUCUUGUUUUCCAAAUUAGAGCAAACCCCCCAGCAUAAGAUGAAUGGGCAUCUUUGCCUUUACCUGAUAAAGUGCCUGAACGAUUAGGGAGGCUGAUGGCUUCUACAGAUCCUGUGGGACACAGAUCAGUCAUCCCACGUGUAACCCCAAAGAAAUAACUGAAAAUAAAUCACAGCAACAUUUGUACUUUGGAGUCUGGAUACCAUCAUAAAAUGCCAAAAAUGCACCUUGUAUACUGCCCAAGUUUAAAGAUUAAACUUUAUUUCAGAAGUUAACUGCUAUAAAAGUUUCUUUGCUAUAUGUUGCACAUUAUAACAGAUCACGCAGACCUUCUGUGGGCUCUGUGUGUGAAGUUUACAAGACCAGGACAGUAGCAUAUGUCUCGUGUGCAAUUUGAUCAAUAGAGUUACAGCAAAACAGAUCAAGUCUAGGAAAAAUAAUGCUUAGAUUUACAUGUUAAGAGCAGCACUUGCUGUCUGCAGUGGGAGCCAAGGAUGCUCUGAGCAAGACACAAUUACCUGCCUUUCAAGAGUUCCACAAGUCAUUUGUCACGAGGUCCCACCAACUUCACAUCUACUUUAAAAAGCAGUUUGAAGACUUUUUAGGUAUUAUGGUCUCCUAUAUCUAUUUCUGUCUCUUUUGUUUCCUAACAGCAUGAGAUACUGACCACACAUACUGCAGUCAAAUAUAGAAAUUAAACCUACAGGAAAAAGGAUGUCUUCUCUUUAAUCUCUUGGAGAAUUUUCCAGACUAAAGCAUAGUUCUUAAAUUGAUAAUAUCCCUUUAAGAAUUUAUUUGCCAGGUAAUGUUAGAAGAAAAAAGAGAUUAGGGCUAGUUUGAACAUUAGAAAGGCCCUUUUUAAAAUCAAUUUCAAGUCUGUAUUAGAGAUGAGCGUUGUCUGAACAUGCUUCCAACAGAUAAAAUAUAUUCUGCACCUUAGGAACGCAAAUAACUUGAAAAUCCUUGAGACUCCCAGCUCUUUGCAAAAAGGUCAAACUCUAUCCUAAGAAAUAUUUCAUUGCAUAGAAAUAAUGGUUUAGUGUUGCCGUAUAUGAAAGUCAGAAUCUGUAAGGCUACGAAGUUAAUAACAGAUCAAGGGCUGAAGUUUUUGAAUAAUGUAGUAAAUAUUUCUUAAAUGAGUGAAAUGAUACGAUACCACGGGAAGAGAGAAAUGCGUUUUAAUAAAGAAAAUAUUGAAUGUAAGAAUAUUUCUUUAGAUCUACCAUGCAAUCUGUGUGUUCUCUAUGAGAUGUCAAACUACACGGUGCAUAUGUACACUGCGCUCUCUAUAAAUAUACAUGUGCAUGACAUAUUUCUGAAGGCAGUAAAUGAAUGCUGGGGAAAUACGGCAACAAUGAAGUUCCUAAGAGAAGGUUAGUUUUUCAAGUUAUUAAAAGAAGGUGGCAAGCAUUCAUGAGGAUAUGAAAAUUUAAAGCUGUCUGCAGGAAACUCUGAAAACCUCUGGUUAAGGCUGCUGCCAAAAAAUCUCAGCUAUGUUAUGUCAGAAUAUUUAAUUGCAAGCUGCAAUUUUAAUGAAUGGAAAGAUAUGGCAAAAGGAGGAAGUUUUCUGCAGCAACACAGAACAGCCAUGAAAAUAAAAUGCCAAAGGUUGUAAUCUUGGACGCUGUAGGAAUCAGGAAUUUCCAUCCACGUUCUGACUCCUUUUCCUACUGUGAGAGUUUGCCAGCUGCCUGGCUGAAGGGAGGUAAGCUGUUCUG